UGAGUUGUGUCUCCGUGGUAGAGCGCACACCUAGCAUGUGCAAGGUGCUGGGUUCAAUCCUCAGCACCACAU
This 72-nucleotide transfer RNA is filed under the name Marmota monax (woodchuck). Its description in RNAcentral is "tRNA.Ala". Lineage: Eukaryota; Metazoa; Chordata; Mammalia; Rodentia; Sciuridae. The record is from RNAcentral.